RNAcentral lists this non-coding RNA (89 nucleotides) under Leuconostoc carnosum. RNAcentral describes it as "TPP". It matches the Rfam family "TPP riboswitch aptamer (THI element)". Rfam says of the family: Vitamin B(1) in its active form thiamin pyrophosphate (TPP) is an essential coenzyme that is synthesised by coupling of pyrimidine and thiazole moieties in bacteria. The previously detected thiamin-regulatory element, thi box was extended, resulting in a new, highly conserved RNA secondary structure, the THI element, which is widely distributed in eubacteria and also occurs in some archaea. Analysis of operon structures identified a large number of new candidate thiamin-regulated genes, mostly transporters, in various prokaryotic organisms. Lineage: Bacteria; Bacillati; Bacillota; Bacilli; Lactobacillales; Lactobacillaceae. The record is from RNAcentral.
UAAAAAUAUCUGGGGUGCCUUGAGCUGAGAUCAUACCCAUUGAACCUGAUUGAGUUAGCACUCACGAAGGAAGAUAGUUAUAGAACAAA